This 544-nucleotide ribosomal RNA is filed under the name uncultured bacterium. RNAcentral describes it as "bacterial SSU rRNA". It matches the Rfam family "Bacterial small subunit ribosomal RNA", at positions 355 to 896 of the family's 1533-position model. The record is from RNAcentral.
UAGGGAAUUUUCACAAUGAGCGAAAGCUUGAUGGAGCAAUGCCGCGUGAACGAUGAAGGUCUUUAAGAUGUAAAGUUUUUUAUUUGGGAAGAAUGACUUUAGCAGGUAAUGGCUAGAGUUUGACUGUACCAUUUUGAAUAAGUGACGACUAACUAUGUGCCAGCAGUCGCGGUAAUACAUAGGUCGCAAGCGUUAUCCGGAUUUAUUGGGCGUAAAGCAAGCGCAGGCGGAUUGAAAAGUCUGGUGUUAAAGGCAGCUGCUUAACAGUUGUAUGCAUUGGAAACUAUUAAUCUAGAGUGUGGUAGGGAGUUUUGGAAUUUCAUGUGGAGCGGUGAAAUGCGUAGAUAUAUGAAGGAACACCAGUGGCGAAGGCGAAAACUUAGGCCAUUACUGACGCUUAGGCUUGAAAGUGUGGGGAGCAAAUAGGAUUAGAUACCCUAGUAGUCCACACCGUAAACGAUAGAUACUAGCUGUCGGGGCGAUCCCCUCGGUAGUGAAGUUAACACAUUAAGUAUCUCGCCUGGGUAGUACAUUCGCAAGAAUG